AUCUAUGGUCAUGCCUCCCUGAACACGCCCGAUCUCAUCUGAUCUUGGAAGCUAAGCAGGGUUGGGCCCGGUUAGUACUUGGAUGGGAGACCACCUAGGAAGACUGGGUGCUGUAGGCG
Molecule: non-coding RNA, 119 nt
Organism: Pteropus alecto (black flying fox)
Lineage: Eukaryota; Metazoa; Chordata; Mammalia; Chiroptera; Pteropodidae
Source: Rfam